AAAAAGGUAAGCUAAUUAAGCUCUUGGGUUCAUACCCCAUUUAUAAAGGCCCCCCCUCCUUUCCUUUUUA
RNAcentral lists this transfer RNA (70 nucleotides) under Basilepta melanopus. Its description in RNAcentral is "tRNA-Met". The record is from RNAcentral. Lineage: Eukaryota; Metazoa; Arthropoda; Insecta; Coleoptera; Chrysomelidae.